CCAGAUUGAUAAGCGCCAGAGCUUGCGUGAUGAAGGCUGAUGUACGUGCUGACUUAGAGUAGAGAGCAUGGACGAAGCUUCAUACGGAAAGCUGACGAGGUGAAGGUGUUCGAAAUUUCGGCGGGGACCUUCCGGUAUAUAGCGGCCAACCGAAAGCCGAUACGCAAAACGAUUGGGCGACCAAUCCGACAAACGUACGGCGGGCUGCAG
RNAcentral lists this non-coding RNA (210 nucleotides) under Paenibacillus sp. Its description in RNAcentral is "GlcN6P sequence". It matches the Rfam family "glmS glucosamine-6-phosphate activated ribozyme aptamer". From Rfam's summary of the family: This entry contains a glucosamine-6-phosphate activated ribozyme that is found in the mRNA for GlmS. GlmS is an enzyme that uses fructose-6-phosphate and glutamine to generate glucosamine-6-phosphate. RNAcentral also lists the same sequence under 1 other name. The record is from RNAcentral. Lineage: Bacteria; Bacillati; Bacillota; Bacilli; Caryophanales; Paenibacillaceae.